UGACCUCAUCUAGAAUACUGCAGAAUUAGAUGACCAACCAUGGUUCACAGUGGGCUCCACUCCCAUCAUUUCAGCCUGAACCCACAGAAGCCCUAGUCCUUGUCAAGAAGUCCAAAUUUCUCAGGACUCCAGAGGCAUAAAGAUUUUCACAAAGCAGCCCUGAUUCUUAGAGUGUCUCUUUUAUCAGCAACAAUGGAAACAUUCUCCCUUAUGUUUGCCAGUACAGAUAAAGUCCUGUUGAACAAAGAGUCCUCUUGAACAAACCAGAUCUGCCUCUAGGUUUUGCCAGGGCUGUCUCCUCAGCACAACUCUCCAGACCAAAGAGGAAAGAACAUAUAUGGAGUGGUUCCUAUAUGCCAGACUUCUCCAUCUGGUCUGCAUUUGAAGAUUCCUUAUAGACAACUGUGUUCUUGUCACCCCUGAGAACCUGGUCAUGGCCAGGGGUCUGAAUAGAUGGGGACUCAUCAUUUACCUGCCAGAUCUGAAAUGACCAGGUCAGCCAUAUCUGUCCUGCAGAGAAUGCUGUUGCCUCAGGAAAAUUCAAUAAUUGGCCCCCAACUCAGACAUCGUGAGGCUGAACUGUUAUCCAAACUGGAAAGGAGAGAGAGACAGACAGACAGACAGACAGGCAGAGAGGUAUCUGAAGGUGAUAGGAGACCAGAAAACACGUCAAGGUGAAAUUCACUAACUAUUGUUUAAUGACACUAGCAACUUGCCUGGCCACAUUAGCAAAGGAACGGAAGUCUCCUGCAUUCUAAUCUUUCUAAAAUUAGCCAACACAGCCACUAUGAUGGAAAGAACCAUUCAUUUCAUUUCGUAAACCUGCCCUGGACAGAAUUAUAAGUGAGCAAAGACAAGUUCAUGCCAACUUUUAUCUCUGCUACUAUGACUGACAUGGAAUUUGAAAGGAAGAGCAAGACAAAAGGCGAGGCUCUGAGCAACGCACUGUAAUACAUUCAUAUUAAAGACAGAGACACUCUCUUGUGGCUGCCCAACUGCCUACAUAAUUCAGGAUGUUCUUCUACAUUCAAUAAAACUAAUAAAAAGUUUAAGUUUUUUUUUUUUCCAGAUGAUAUUUAAAGUACCUUUCAAAUCCGAUUAGCCAAACCCUUGUCAUGACUGAAAAGGUCUUCAGACUGAACAUGUACACAGUCCAGCUCUGGUGGGUGUUACUCCGAGGGACCUGUCACUGAAGAGGCCCUAGGCUUCCUAGAGCCACAGGAGUGCCACAGCCCCUGGCAUCAGCCACCUGCCCUGUAAAGGAAAGUAUCUGAAGUCCUAUGUCCUCUGUAUCUGAAGUCCUAUGUCCUCUGGGCUAAAGCCUGGAAGCUCUUCUAGGAAGCAUAACCCAGAUGAACCCUGAGUCAAAGCACUUUCAGGCUACUGGGACAUAGCUGCCCACAUACAGACAGGACGUGCCAGCUGCCCUGCUAUGUAAAUGGACGUAACACGGAACUAAAUGCUUCCUAAGAGGUCAUAUUUUCUAUAAGUAAAUGAUGAAAGAGAAGUACAAAUGUGUGCAGAGGCUGUGAGGGAAAAAAAUGCUAUACACUUGCACUAAAGUAAAACUUGUACUGGGCUAAUGCUUUCCCUAAAUGCAAGACCACUUGGGGAAGAAAAGGAAUACGUGAACCUACAGGUUAUUGGAGAACUCUUGAAUGUUUAAACAAAUUAAGAUAAAACAGUAUCUCGAGCCAUCACAAGAUAUAAGAUAAAAUGAUGAAAGACUUGAAACAAUUUCUAUGUUUGUUGUGAGUUUUCUCAUUGCGUAGCCUUAUAUCUUCAAAGAUGUGUGAAGCACAGAGUAGAAGACAUGUUAUUCUGAUUUUCUUUUUUUAAGUUAGGUCUUUGGGAGUUAAGAUACAUCUAUAAAUAUAGAGUGUGACACCUUCAAGGAAAGCAGAAAUGAUAAUAAUCAGUCCAGUUCCAGGGUUAGAAAGUCAUUUAAUGAGUGGACCUAGAUGAACAGUCCUCCAAGUGCACUCAGCAGUGUUAACAGCGUUUACAUCAGAAAGGAAAAGUUCCAUGGAAAAUUGCAUUUGAGAAAUACUGGAUUAAAAGGUUUUUGCUUUUUGUUUUUUUUUUUUAACUUUAAGGCAGCUCAAAGCUUUGUGUAUGUUUUCACAUUCGUAGCAAAUCUCAGAGCAGGAGAUAAAGCAUGAACCAUUUUCCAAAUUUAUUUAUAAAGCCAUUUUAUUCCUGGAAUAUCUGGUGGGAUUAGUGUUCCUUGGUUUACAUUUUAGGAAAUGCUGAAUUAGAUAAGACUUGUGAAUUGCUGUAAAAAAAGAAGGGAGGGAGGGGAAAAGGGAGAAAAGAAAUGAAAAAAUGCAAAAUCUUAGGUAAUUUGAGGUCACGUGCACCUGAUAGACUCACUGUCUUUGCCAUAUCUGAAGGUGUAAAAAGAGAGGAAAGUGUAUGGCAUUCUAACUAAACUUUUUAAAAAAUACAAAUAGUCGUGAUAAGACAAACAAACAAACAAACGAACUUAGGGUCAUCACCCAUGGAUCUACCAUAGCUUUCUCUUCUGGCCCAUUUUCUUUUGAAAAUAAAACUAAAUAUAAACAAGAAAUUAAAAAUCAAAAUAAAACACAUGGUAUCAAACCAUGUUUAGGUUAUGAGUAAUCAAUCUCUAUCACGGAUUUUCCCCUGAGAACUCUCUGGACCCCACCCACACCCCAAGAAACUCCUCUUCACUUCGGCAAACUGCAAAUGCUCACUAGUAUUCUCAGUGGUCACUCAGGACCUCCUGGGUGCUUUUGGUUACCAUGGAUCAUGCCAGGCACCAUACUCAACACUCAGAGCACACUGUUCCAUGGAUGGCCUACAGCAAUGCUAUGAGGCUGGGGCAUCAGCUUCCUUAUAUGAAUGAAGCAGUGUAAACUCAGUGGACAUUAAAUAACUUUUUCAAGGGAGUCAUAUCUUCUUGACUUGAGUGCCUCCUCUAUUGCCACCUCCUACUGAGUUCUUUUCAGGUUUUUACUCUCUUAACUCCCAUGCACAACUCUGAACUUGUUGCCUCUGUGAUGCCCUUCCAGACCUAAGCCCUGUAUUGGCCUUGGAACCUUGAUUUUCACUACUGGAGGCAAGUUUGGCACGUCCUCUGUUCCAGCUCACUGUGGGCAAUCAACUCAUGACAUCAGCCACUUGGCUAGAACCUUCUCCAGAACAACGGGAGUUUGGGACCCCAGGCCAGAAGGAGUGACUCACUUCCAUUCAGUCUUUAUCUUUGGGACACAUAACAGAACUACAGUUACAGGAAGAAAUGAGGACAUUACGAAUCUAGAAGACUGAGGAACACAUUUUGGAACUGGUCCCUGAUGUAUUAGAGUAGUGUCCAUACACAUAGCAAUUAAAAUAGAGGUCACAAGCUCACAAACUUGUAAGAGCUUGGAUGCUACGGUCUAUAGUGGUGGAGACUGUGGCAAACUGGUAUGUGUGUGCCUUAUCCAUACAGAUAAUUGUGGCUCAGUUGUUGUGGCUGAGUUGGAAACAUAAGCUUAAUAAUGUCUGGCAUUCCCAUUUUCAAAAGAA
Long non-coding RNA from Herpailurus yagouaroundi (jaguarundi), 3531 nucleotides. RefSeq lists it as uncharacterized. Lineage: Eukaryota; Metazoa; Chordata; Mammalia; Carnivora; Felidae. The record is from RefSeq and is a predicted model, not a curated record. The transcript has 4 exons.